CAGUCGAGGGGUAUUGUUCUUCGGAAUGAGAGACCGGCGCACGGGUGCGUAAUGCGUAUGCAAUCUACCUUUCACAGAGGGAUAGCCCAGAGAAAUUUGGAUUAAUACCUCAUAGCAUAAUGAGUUGGCAUCAACACAUUAUUAAAGUCACAACGGUGAAAGAUGAGCAUGCGUCCCAUUAGCUAGUUGGUAAGGUAACGGCUUACCAAGGCUACGAUGGGUAGGGGUCCUGAGAGGGAGAUCCCCCACACUGGUACUGAGACACGGACCAGACUCCUACGGGAGGCAGCAGUGAGGAAUAUUGGUCAAUGGGCGCAAGCCUGAACCAGCCAUGCCGCGUGCAGGAUGACGGUCCUAUGGAUUGUAAACUGCUUUUGUACGGGAAGAAACACUCCGACGUGUCGGAGCUUGACGGUACCGUAAGAAUAAGGAUCGGCUAACUCCGUGCCAGCAGCCGCGGUAAUACGGAGGAUCCAAGCGUUAUCCGGAAUCAUUGGGUUUAAAGGGUCCGUAGGCGGUUUAGUAAGUCAGUGGUGAAAGCCCAUCGCUCAACGGUGGAACGGCCAUUGAUACUGCUAGACUUGAAUUAUUGGGAAGUAACUAGAAUAUGUAGUGUAGCGGUGAAAUGCUUAGAGAUUACAUGGAAUACCAAUUGCGAAGGCAGGUUACUACCAAUGGAUUGACGCUGAUGGACGAAAGCGUGGGUAGCGAACAGGAUUAGAUACCCUGGUAGUCCACGCCAUAAACGAUGGAUACUAGCUGUUGGGAGCAAUCUCAGUGGCUAAGCGAAAGUGAUAAGUAUCCCACCUGGGGAGUACGUUCGCAAGAAUGAAACUCAA
Molecule: ribosomal RNA, 839 nt
Filed under: uncultured bacterium
Lineage: Bacteria
Description: bacterial SSU rRNA
Rfam family: Bacterial small subunit ribosomal RNA
Source: RNAcentral